AGGUACCUCUCUCUUUACCCCAACCACCCACAGCAUAAUCUCCUUUUCCAUCGAACUAAGAAAUUUGUUAGGUUGUAGUUUUUUCAUAUUUAUGGACUAAAAAGCUGAUUAAUUAUUUGUUUGUUUAGCUUAAAUGAAUUUGCAACAUGGUUGGAGGAAUAAAUUUCUGCGACGACCUUUUCACUUUUUCCUCUUCUUUUAAAAGAAACAAUUAAUUAACCACAAUCCAAAGUGAAAAACAAAACAAGAUACAUGGGCUAAAUUCCAACAAUCAAUGUAGUCAUGUGUAACAAUUGCAGAAAAUAUCUCUCACCACACCCAACAAUCACUACCAUUAACUGACAUAUCUAAUAAUUCAUAAACAUGUCAUAAUUUGACACUGAAAUAUGAAUGGGCAUAGAGUUUCUGAUCCUCAAAAGACAUGUAAAAUGCACAUCUUGCCUUCAAAAACUCUUACUUUUUCCUGAUGAUUAGCUGGAAUUUCUGGUUGCAAGAAAGAUCUUAUUUUUAUCUUGAUAUAUAUAUAUAUGUGUGUGUGUGUAGUUAUGAAAAAAGAGGAAAGAUAUAGAUAACGAACAGGCCUAAAUUUAAAGGUGUGUUAAUUUAAGGAAAUAAUACAUUCUCAAUAGCAAAGGAAGGAUCCGUAAUGUAAAAACUCUAAUAUGCUAAACUGUUGCUUCAACCUCUUGGACUCGAAAUGUGCAUCAUUCCAGUAAAUGAAGCAUGAGAAUGCAAGUGUUCACAUAUGUGUGGACCACUAUUUUGAAAACAAGAUCCUGACAGAUCAAAUGGGAACAACAAGACCCCGUACGGUUUUUAUAAAAAACUGGAAAAAUUAAGAACCGUUUAAGAAAUCUAGGUACCGGCAUGUUCACGCAACAACAUUCACAAUAAGAACCAGCCAGUUCACUCAAAAAUCUAUUUUUGAAUUUUUUAAAAAUAUUUUUUGACACAACUUCAACCUUAUUUAACCUGGGUUCAACCCUUUAAACCCUAACUCCCAGGCCGGUUUUCAAAACAUUGGUGUGGACAUGUAAUGAGAGAAAACUAUAUUGAAAUUUGAUAUGACUAGGGGUCUCUUCUUGCAUGGUAGUAUGAAGAAAUCAAUAAAUUGGUGAUCAAAACAUCCAAGCAAGCCAGGUCUAUGCAAAGCAGCUGCCAAGCCACUAUAUAAAUGCAUAGAAAAGAAUUGAGCUUAUCUAACUUUCACCUGUUAAAUGAAACUGUUGUGAGUCAUAGUAAAAAUAAAUUUACAAGGAUUUUUGCACAAUAUGGUAGUAGCAGGACACUACUCAGUUUUACAUAUGAAAGCCUACCUGUAAAACUGAGGCAAAACAGAAAAGAGAUAAAAGAAGGGCAAGAGUUUGCUCUCUAAAUACUCUUGUGAAAGUCUAAAUUUUGUUAAGUACAAGGGUUCAGAUUCUAUGAAAUUCUGUGUUUGGUUUGUCUUAAUAAUUGUGAAAUACAGAAAAUUGUGCUUGUUUCUGGUUAGUCCUUAUUCAUAGAAUUCCUUAGUCAAAUCUCUCCUUGAUCCUUUUAUUGAGUUCAUAAAUAUUCCUAGCAUCCAAGAGUAUUAUAUUACGCUAUUAGCCAUGUUAUGUAGUUGAAGGUGUGAUUAAGAGAAAUUUUCCUAAAAUGCUAAAUGGACAAAGAUAUUUGUAAGGAAAAUGCUUCUCUUACAUACCAAAUGUUUAUACAUAAUCUUUGGUUUUUCUCCUUUUGUAGUCAUGGGUUGUAAGUUUGCUCCUUUUCGGGGGCAUGGUGGUGAUUUAUCUCAUAUUCUCGAUUCACACACCUAUUAGAGCCCGUAAUAAAAACCUCAAGAAAAUAGGAGUUGAUUGAGAGCCAUGAUUUAUUAUCCUUGUCAGUACAUUGAAGCUCUCAAACUGGAGAACCGUGAAAUCAUGACGGUAUGAAGAGGCAAGAAUUAAAUUUAUAAAAAAAUAAUAAUAAUAAAUAAAUAAAAGAGAGAAAAAGAAGAAGAAGCAAAGAAACUAUGAUAAUAUGAUCACUCAAUCAAAUCGUAACCAAAUAUAUUCUGACUACUCUCCCAUUGCAUCGCAUGUACUCAUUGAUGAAACCUAACAUUAGCAGUACAAUUAUUUACCAACUGUAAACUGCAGUAUUUUAAUUUCCAAAGGUGCGAAAAGAAAUUACAUGACAUUAUAAAAAGAUAAAUUUUACGAUGCAAAAUAAAUUCUAAUAUUGAGAAUAAAAAUCCACAUUAUACCAUUCAAAUUCAAUCACGGUGGAAGCGUGAAAGAAUGAGAAUGAGGGGGAGUACGAAUUUACCAGUAAAAGGGCCAAAGAGUGUAAUCAAGAUCGAAGACAACAAGGCGAGGAAGGGUUCCGUGGAGUCCGAUGAUCUGUUCAGCCUCGUCGUUCGACAUCCUCUCUCUCAAACGCGCUCAAGCACGGAGGGAGAGUCGUCUGGUCUUCCUAAAAUAGCGUUAACUGUACGUGAUUUUUGGAGUUAAUUGUUCAAAUGUUCACUGAACUUUGACCCAUAUUUUCUAUUGGUUACUAAAAUUUAAAAUAUCAAAUUUUGAUAGUCUAUUGAGUGCACUCACUGUUCAAGAAUCUAUCUCUAAUAGUUCUUCCUUACUUAGCCUUAAAGCUACUCUAAAGCGGUAGAAUAAGAAUUGAGUGCACUCACUACUCAGGAAUCUAUCUCUAAUAGUUCUUCCUUGCUUAGUCUUAAAGCUACUCUAAAGAGGUAGAAUAAGAACUAAGGAGCUUUAAGAAGGAGGGGGGUGUCUGAGAUUCUUUAUUUAAUACCUCAAGAAGAGGAUGACG
RNAcentral lists this long non-coding RNA (2796 nucleotides) under Olea europaea (common olive). Its description in RNAcentral is "long non-coding RNA (OEUR_LNC003462)". Lineage: Eukaryota; Viridiplantae; Streptophyta; Magnoliopsida; Lamiales; Oleaceae. The record is from RNAcentral.